GAUAAGAGACUGUGGGUGCAGAACAGUUGCAGCAGAGUAGGGUGCAGCAAAACAGGGACCUUAUGGUGCCUGCCAGUGUUACACAACAGGAGCGCCUGCAUCCUCCUAGCCUCGCUGCAGGGGCAUGGCUGUAGCCAGAGCUCCAUGGUCAGAGACAAGAGCCAGCUGGGAGAUAGAGCACAAGCAAGUUACAGAAGCAAGAAAAAGCAGUUAGUCGUAACAAGUGGACGGUCAUGGCUGUACGUUUUGGGGUGGGGUCACCGAGUCGGGGUUACUGGGAACUUACCUUCCAGGAACUGGCGUCAGAGACAUACAGCUGGGAACUGUGCUGGACUUGUGAAGGGUUUAGCUCCUACCACCUUAGCGGGACAGCAAGAAUGUCUUAAUGGAUUCCAGUGGACCUAAUUCAGACAUGCCCAAAGAAUUGGUCCAUGGAGAAUCUAAAUCUCAUCAAAUUGACAGCCAAGACGACCAUCACACCUUCCAAAGUUUCACGACUUUCCAGCAUCAUCACAAACUGGUAACUGAUUAUUUAGCAGAUGGACUGUGGGACACACUGAGUAC
Long non-coding RNA from Meriones unguiculatus (Mongolian gerbil), 564 nucleotides. RefSeq lists it as uncharacterized. The transcript is spliced from 3 exons. NCBI's taxonomy places the organism in Eukaryota, Metazoa, Chordata, Mammalia, Rodentia, Muridae. The record is from RefSeq and is a predicted model, not a curated record.